This 484-nucleotide ribosomal RNA is filed under the name uncultured bacterium. RNAcentral describes it as "partial 16S ribosomal RNA". It matches the Rfam family "Bacterial small subunit ribosomal RNA", at positions 30 to 507 of the family's 1533-position model. The record is from RNAcentral.
AUUGAACGCUGGCGGCAGGCCUAACACAUGCAAGUCGAGCGGAUGAAGGGAGCUUGCUCCUGGAUUCAGCGGCGGACGGGUGAGUAAUGCCUAGGAAUCUGCCUGGUAGUGGGGGAUAACGUCCGGAAACGGGCGCUAAUACCGCAUACGUCCUGAGGGAGAAAGUGGGGGAUCUUCGGACCUCACGCUAUCAGAUGAGCCUAGGUCGGAUUAGCUAGUUGGUGGGGUAAAGGCCUACCAAGGCGACGAUCCGUAACUGGUCUGAGAGGAUGAUCAGUCACACUGGAACUGAGACACGGUCCAGACUCCUACGGUAAGCAGCAGUGGGGAAUAUUGGACGAUGGGCGAAAGCCUGAUCCAGCCAUGCCGCGUGUGUGAAGAAGGUCUUCGGAUUGUAAAGCACUUUAAGUUGGGAGGAAGGGCAGUAAGUUAAUACCUUGCUAUUUUGACGUUACCAACAGAAUAAGCACCGGCUAACUUCGUG